RNAcentral lists this ribosomal RNA (245 nucleotides) under uncultured bacterium. RNAcentral describes it as "partial 16S ribosomal RNA". It matches the Rfam family "Bacterial small subunit ribosomal RNA", at positions 524 to 768 of the family's 1533-position model. The record is from RNAcentral.
UACGUAGGGGGCAAGCGUUGUCCGGAAUCAUUGGGCGUAAAGAGCGCGUAGGCGGCCCGGUAAGUCCGCUGUGAAAGUCAGGGGCUCAACCCUUGGAUGCCGGUGGAUACUGUCGGGCUAGAGUCCGGAAGAGGCGAGUGGAAUUCCUGGUGUAGCGGUGAAAUGCGCAGAUAUCAGGAGGAACACCAAUGGCGAAGGCAGCUCGCUGGGACGGUACUGACGCUGAGGCGCGAAAGCGUGGGGAG